Molecule: ribosomal RNA, 480 nt
Filed under: uncultured bacterium
Lineage: Bacteria
Description: partial 16S ribosomal RNA
Rfam family: Bacterial small subunit ribosomal RNA
Source: RNAcentral
AUUGAACGCUGGCGGCAUGCUUUACACAUGCAAGUCGAACGGUAACAGGCCGCAAGGUGCUGACGAGUGGCGAACGGGUGAGUAAUGCAUCGGAACGUGCCCAGUCGUGGGGGAUAACUACUCGAAAGAGUAGCUAAUACCGCAUACGAUCUAUGGAUGAAAGCGGGGGACCGUAAGGCCUCGCGCGAUUGGAGCGGCCGAUGUCAGAUUAGGUAGUUGGUGGGGUAAAGGCUCCAAGCCAACGAUCUGUAGCUGGUCUGAGAGGACGACCAGCCACACUGGGACUGAGACACGGCCCAGACUCCUACGGGAGGCAGCAGUGGGGAAUUUUGGACAAUGGGCGCAAGCCUGAUCCAGCAAUGCCGCGUGCAGGAAGAAGGCCUUCGGGUUGUAAACUGCUUUUGUACGGAACGAAACGGCUCUGGUUAAUACCCGGGGCUAAUGACGGUACCGUAAGAAUAAGCACCGGCUAACUACGUG